RNAcentral lists this ribosomal RNA (253 nucleotides) under uncultured bacterium. RNAcentral describes it as "partial 16S ribosomal RNA". It matches the Rfam family "Bacterial small subunit ribosomal RNA", at positions 524 to 776 of the family's 1533-position model. The record is from RNAcentral.
UACGUAGGGUGCAAGCGUUGUCCGGAAUUAUUGGGCGUAAAGAGCUCGUAGGCGGUCUGUCGCGUCGGCUGUGAAAACCCGGGGCUCAACCCCGGGCCUGCAGUCGUUACGGGCAGACUAGAGUGCGGUAGGGGAGACUGGAAUUCCUGGUGUAGCGGUGAAAUGCGCAGAUAUCAGGAGGAACACCGGUGGCGAAGGCGGGUCUCUGGGCCGUAACUGACGCUGAGGAGCGAAAGCGUGGGGAGCGAACAGG